Molecule: ribosomal RNA, 1406 nt
Filed under: uncultured Sphingomonas sp.
Lineage: Bacteria; Pseudomonadati; Pseudomonadota; Alphaproteobacteria; Sphingomonadales; Sphingomonadaceae
Description: 16S ribosomal RNA
Rfam family: Bacterial small subunit ribosomal RNA
Source: RNAcentral
AUGCCUAACACAUGCAAGUCGAACGAUGCUUUCGGGCAUAGUGGCGCACGGGUGCGUAACGCGUGGGAAUCUGCCCCUUGGUUCGGAAUAACCGUUGGAAACGACGGCUAAUACCGGAUGACGACGUAAGUCCAAAGAUUUAUCGCCGAGGGAUGAGCCCGCGUAGGAUUAGCUAGUUGGUGUGGUAAAGGCGCACCAAGGCGACGAUCCUUAGCUGGUCUGAGAGGAUGAUCAGCCACACUGGGACUGAGACACGGCCCAGACUCCUACGGAAGGCAGCAGUGGGGAAUAUUGGACAAUGGGCGAAAGCCUGAUCCAGCAAUGCCGCGUGAGUGAUGAAGGCCUUAGGGUUGUAAAGCUCUUUUACCCGGGAUGAUAAUGACAGUACCGGGAGAAUAAGCUCCGGCUAACUCCGUGCCAGCAGCCGCGGUAAUACGGAGGGAGCUAGCGUUGUUCGGAAUUACUGGGCGUAAAGCGCACGUAGGCGGCUUUGUAAGUUAGAGGUGAAAGCCUGGAGCUCAACUCCAGAAUUGCCUUUAAGACUGCAUCGCUUGAAUCCAGGAGAGGUGAGUGGAAUUCCGAGUGUAGAGGUGAAAUUCGUAGAUAUUCGGAAGAACACCAGUGGCGAAAGCGGCUCACUGGACUGGUAUUGACGCUGAGUGCGAAAGCGUGGGGAGCAAACAGNAUUAGAUACCCUGGUAGUCCACGCCGUAANCGAUGAUANCUAGCUGUCCGGGGACUNGGUCUUUGGGUGGCGCAGCUAACGCAUUAAGUUAUCCGCCUGGGGAGUACGGCCGCAAGGUUAAAACUCAAAUGAAUUGACGGGGGCCUGCACAAGCGGUGGAGCAUGUGGUUUAAUUCGAAGCAACGCGCAGAACCUUACCAGCGUUUGACAUGUCCGGACGAUUUCGGGAGACCGAUCUCUUCCCUUCGGGGACUGGAACACAGGUGCUGCAUGGCUGUCGUUAGCUCGUGUCGUGAGAUGUUGGGUUAAGUCCCGCAACGAGCGCAACCCUCGCCUUUAGUUACCAUCAUUUAGUUGGGGACUCUAAAGGAACCGCCGGUGAUAAGCCGGAGGAAGGUGGGGAUGACGUCAAGUCCUCAUGGCCCUUACGCGCUGGGCUACACACGUGCUACAAUGGCGGUGACAGUGGGCAGCAAUCCUGCAAGGGUGAGCUAAUCUCCAAAAGCCGUCUCAGUUCGGAUUGCACUCUGCAACUCGAGUGCAUGAAGGCGGAAUCGCUAGUAAUCGCGGAUCAGCAUGCCGCGGUGAAUACGUUCCCAGGCCUUGUACACACCGCCCGUCACACCAUGGGAGUUGGGUUCACCCGAAGGCGUUGCGCUAACUCAGCAAUGAGAGGCAGGCGACCACGGUGGGCUUAGCGACUGGGGUGAAGUCGUAACAA